CAUCGGGUUGUUAGAAGUCUUGUCAUCUCACCAGCCCAUGAUGCUCUUACCUUCAACUGUUGCUCCUUCCUAAGCAGAGGUGGAGGUUCAGCCAGUACUUUGAACACAUAGUAUGAGAGCUUUGACACUAAAUGAUCCUCAGCAGAGUUGAGACCUCAUCUGAGAGAAUGUGCAUCUUACUCCAUCCACAGCUUAGUCCUGCUUAAGUACCAGCAGAUGAAAUACAAAAGUGACACAACAUGGAGAAAAUCCAAAAACGACCUGGAGACCCUGGAAAAUCAUCGGAGAAUUUGGAAGUAGAGUUCAGAAAAGCGAAAUUUAAAAUAGAGCUGAAAAUGUCAAAGGCUUCACGGUCCUAGGAAGCCAAAGAGAACUACCCAGAGAUGCCUUAGGCUGAAGGUCCCUAGCAAAUCAGUGAUCAAUUUAGCAUUCAUUUGCCUCCUGCUGCCCAGAGUCCUCUGGAGAGUCAAGAAAUUAGUUCUGCUAUUCCUAACUUCGCUUUAAGAAGCCUGCUUGCUAUUCUU
This is a long non-coding RNA of Mastomys coucha (southern multimammate mouse), 524 nucleotides long. RefSeq lists it as uncharacterized. The record is from RefSeq and is a predicted model, not a curated record. NCBI's taxonomy places the organism in Eukaryota, Metazoa, Chordata, Mammalia, Rodentia, Muridae. The transcript has 3 exons.